UUCACUGGUACAUCAGAGAAAGCAGAAAAGGUUGCCUGGCAUUUUAUAGAAUGUUUCUGGGUGCAAGACGUGGAUCAAAUGAAGGAGUUGCAUUUAUAGACCUAGAAGUUAUAUUUAUAGACCAAUUGUUUCUUUAAGCCAGCUAUCCAGUAUGUAGCAGUUAAUUUUACCUAAAAGAACAGAAAAGUUUUUUAUGAUUUGCAACAGAGCUUCAUGUCACGGUCACUUCUGAAGUUAUCUAUCCAGGUUUUACUGAACUACUGUAAGGACAGAUCAACAUCAAAACACAUGAGCACACUAUAGAUGCAUAGCAAAUUGUGAUAUAAGCACCAGCUCCACUGUCUUGAAGUAAUGGAAUGGAAAUAAUGGAAAGACAACAGAUUGGGGGUUUACAAUAACAGAUGAGACCUCGGUGUCUGUAUUGGAACUGUUGAAUCACAGCUGAACCUCUGAUUGAUCACCUGAGGCGAGCACUGAGUCAGCCCUGGGAGCACAGGUGAAGGCAAUUCAGCUGUGUGACCAGAGGGGGUGGAGCUUGGCUGCAUCACUCCCAGACCCCAGUUAAGGGCUCACUGCUACUGAGGAAGGAUCUCUCUCUGGAUAUUGCUCUUUUUGAAGUUCCUUGUGAGCCUGCAACCCUGAUAUCUCCCAAAUAGCUAAUGGAUGUAAACUUCAUAUUUGCCCUCUUGAAAUACAGAUUUGAAAGGCAGAAAUCGUGACAGAGAAAUUGACUUAUCCAUCAGAACUCCAAGUGAGAUACUGGAAUUAAAUGGACUGGGUUGAACUGUGGGGACCGUUUCUGGCAAGAAUACUGAAGCUACUUCAUAAAAUUUAAAGUCGGAGAGCUUUGGCUACAUGAUUCUGAUUGUUUCAUCCCUAAAACUUAUAAAGUGCAGCCCUUCUGGCAACACGUGUUGUUUCAGUCAAUCUGACUGUGACAAUGCACAGGGCCAAAUCCAGUGUUAUGUGGGUGGAGUGAUGACGUGGAGGAUUCUGGCCAAGGCUCUUGCUGCUGUGUUGUAGAAUCUCAUGACCUUUUUUAAGCUUAAAUUGGAAACCAGCCUUCUGAGACAAUGAAUUUCAGUCAAGAAUAGUCCCCAUCCUCAUUUCCCAGAAGGGCUACAUGAAAUACAUCUGAACAGUUUCACUGUGUACCCUCUCUUUUAGUUUCUGUUGUUUCUGUUUCUGUGACAAAGACUUCACAGAGUACUGAAGCUCUGUGGACUAAACAUCCACAUCUUUGUUUUCAAGUUACCACCUUCGCAUCCAUCAGGACCAAAAGGACUCCACUGCUGAUACACCUGAAUGUCAAAAUGCUGAGGGUGAAGUAGUUCACCUCUUUUCUCGUGGCUUUAUAAAGGCAAUAUCUAAACUCUCUAUGGGAUAAAAUCCUCUCGGUUUUUUCUUUUCUUUUUUUUCUCCCCCACCUUUCUCAAAAGCAUUGAGGGACUUAAGACCACAUUCCCAAAUACAAAACUUUAAGGCUUCUGUCUUGAACUUCAAAUUCAAAUCCAUCUCUACUGACCUUUGAUGUUCUGUACUAGAGAAGCUGAACGUGGGUUGUCGCCAGUAAAGGUACUCUCUGGAUGGUGUUCUGGAGCUUAGUGCUCACUGACAUGGGUUUUAUGCGUAGAGGUAGCUGAGAAACAACAAGGGUUAUGAAGAGAGUAGAAAGGAAUGGCUCAAAUGAACAAAGUGCUUUGUCAUGUAAGGGCUGCACUCAGCCAUGAGCCUUUAGUUUCUCUUCCGUGUAAGUGACUAAGGAGCGGUAGGGAGCCCCAUUACUUCCCUGUAUGUGGGCUACUUUAUCUUCAUAAAUAGGAAAGGAGCCAAUACCAGAUUGCUAUUCUCCUGCUAUGCAGGAAGGCAAGAGGUGGGAAAAAGCAUGUGAAAAAUACUGCAUCUUGAUGUUGUUUUUCAUUCUUCUAUGUAAAUUUAUUUGCUGCAGUUUCUUUAUUUGUUCAAGUAAACCACGGGGGGGAAAAAAGAAAAGAAAGCUGCUAGGGAAGGAGCCAAAACUGCUUUCCACCAAAAGUAGAAGAUAGCUCAGAUUAAUGAGAUCAUAUUUUGAUUCUUAAUCUGCUCAAGUUGUAUUGCACAAACCUGUUAAUACUUCUUGUACUGAGCUGUAAGUAAAAUGAUGUGCUGAUCAGAGUAACUUUAUGGGCAGCAGUUUCAGUUCAGAGGCUGCACAAGCAGCUGUGAUGAAAAUGCAGAGACUGCCUUGCAGCAAUUGUUCUUGAAAAAUAUUUCCAAUAUUUGUUACCAGGAGCAAACAAGCUUUUAUGCACUAAGGGUGUAAUAUGAACUAGUCUGAGUUAUGAGCACCUACUAAGAAAAAAAAAUUGAUCCCCAAAGCACUAUAUUUUAAUAAACAGUUUCCUUCCACUGUCAAAAUGAAAUCUCCCUGGUUUUAUAUUUUUAUUGCACAUUCUCUACCAGCUGAGAGAAUAUCAGCCGAAUUGAGCUUUAGCAAGGCCAUUGCUUCCAAACUUGUUAUAUUCUAUUG
Molecule: non-coding RNA, 2509 nt
Organism: Meleagris gallopavo (turkey)
Lineage: Eukaryota; Metazoa; Chordata; Aves; Galliformes; Phasianidae
Source: RefSeq, a predicted model, not a curated record